CCAAUAGCGUAUAUUAAAGUUGUUGUGGUUAAAAAGCUCGUAGUUGAACCUUGGGCCUGGCUGGCCGGUCCGCCUCACCGCGUGUACUGGUCCGGCCGGGCCUUUCCCUCUGUGGAACCUCAUGCCCUUCACUGGGUGUGACGGGGAAGCAGGACUUUUACUGUGAAAAAAUUAGAGUGCUCCAAGCAGGCCUAUGCUCGAAUACAUUAGCAUGGAAUAAUGAAAUAGGAAGUGCGGGUCUAUUUUGUUGGUUUCUAGGACCGCCGUAAUGAUUAAUAGGGACAGUCGGGGGCAUCAGUAUUCAAUUGUCAGAGGUGAAAUUCUUGGAUUUAUUGAAGACUAACUACUGCGAAAGCAUUUGCCAAGGAUGUUUUCAUUAAUCAAGAACGAAAGUUAGGGGAUCGAAGACGAUCAGAUACCGUCGUAGUCUUAACCAUAAACUAUGCCGACUAGGGAUCGGAUGAUGUUAAUUUUUUAAUGACUCAUUCGGCGCCUUACG
RNAcentral lists this unclassified non-coding RNA (499 nucleotides) under uncultured Paraglomus. Its description in RNAcentral is "SSU rRNA". It matches the Rfam family "Eukaryotic small subunit ribosomal RNA", at positions 591 to 1092 of the family's 1831-position model. The record is from RNAcentral. Lineage: Eukaryota; Fungi; Glomeromycota; Glomeromycetes; Paraglomerales; Paraglomeraceae.